GGAAGCUGACCUGGGUCCAGUCCUUUUCUCUCCUCCUCUUCUUCUUCUUAUUUAUUUACUUUCUGGUUGUCUCUCGGCUCCUUGCUGCCACUACUGUGCACUUGUGUUUGUUCUGCAGUGUGUGGUUGAGCCUCUGGCUUAUGCAACAAUCACCCUUGGGAGUGGAGGUGUCCACUCCCCAGAUCGAAGCUCCAGUUUUGGCUCACACAGAUCUAUCUUUGGCUUUACGGGGGUCCGUGCUGUUUGGGCCGGUCUAAGGACUCUGUUGGCUCCAUAUGAGUCCAUACGUAGUUGUCUCUUUAAAGACUAUAUUGGCUUCACUUUAGAGUGGGAGGAGCUGACAGAAUAACUACAAUCCGUUGCUGCUGCCACACACAGAAUGAAGGUGGAUCGGUUGAAGUUGCGAUAAAUUGUUGAGAUCGCAACUUUCUGGAGGAUUUGACCUCCACUCGGUCUGCAAAUGGAAACUGAAACCAGAAAAAAACCUGGUCCCUGACCUGCAGAUUCUGCCUGCACACAGACCGGGAUUUCUGUGGAUGGAGGAAAAGUUCUCUAAAGUUAGCAUUGGUGUGAUCAAAUCUGAAUCAGGAGUCAGGAUGGAGGCCCAGCAGACAGACAUACCGGAUGGAUGGAGCUGGAUGUUCAGAGACUUCAUGUUCAUCUGUCUGACUCACCGUUUAGGAGGAACUCUGUGGAUGAACCUACAGCCUCAUUUAGAGGAGAGGACACUCAGCUCUCAGUUUAUGAUUAAUGCAGAUGAGAAAGUGUAUUUUUAAAUCUAUCAGAGACUCCAGUUUGUGCCUUUUUAAGGACAUGAAACCAUGAAAAGUCAUAAAACUGUUUCUAUUUGAUGCACAAGAAUCCAUGUUUAUAAGAGCGCCAUCUAUUUCAGCUGUGAGUAAGCUUUUCAGAUGAACUGUGAGCUCAGAGUCAGGACGGUCAGUGACUAACGGAAAGUCAACAAACACUGUCAAAUACUGGAACAGGAUUACAUGAAAGGGGAUCAGGGUCAUGGAGAGUCACCUUCUCAUGAAUUUACAGGAUCUGUGUGAUUUUUUUAUGAUGCUAAGUGAAGUUAUUCACCAUCGCUCCGACUCUGUUUACAUUCCACUUAUUUUAUUUACACUCAGACCCAUCUAAGAUGAACAAGUGGUUUUUUUUCAACUUCUCAAACACAGCACACUUUUAUUUAUUUACACGAGAGGGGAGCACGUAUGAAUUAAUGACAAUAAAAACCCUGUUGUGUACUCUGAGAGUGAAAACAUUGCACAUUAAAAAGCAGGUUGUGUCAGCGGUGACAUUAGACAACAUGAUUUAUUAAAGACCAAGUGACGAUGAGUCGAAGAGCCCGAGGCUGAAGCUGUUAGCAGUGAGACACAGCGUUUCUGAAACGUUCAAAACAUUGUCAAACAUGUAAACAAGUCUCUUCAGAUAAUCACCAAAAACAGAGUACUGCUGUUUCUGAACUCCAGGUCAAAGAAGUUUCAAGUUAUAAUGUAAUAAAAGUAAUGAGGGUGAUGUUAGAGGUUUAGACUUCACUGAGACCUCCGAUACUCAACAUUAACUCUAAACACAGACACGAAACUUCAGCUCAAAGAAAGAACAAACCUCACAGCUGAUCGUCUGUUUGCAGGAAAGGAUAUGAGGAGGCGUCAGAGCAAGAGUAAGACCAGUUCAGAAGUCCUAAACAAUAGGGCUGGGCGAUAAAACGAUAAUGAUAUACAUCGAUUGUAGAGGCAAUGUCCUAAACACUUGCCUCUACUGAUUGCUGAGUAAAAGAAAAGAACUAACUUCUGACGUGUGGUGUGAAAUAAACUGAUGUCCAAAAAUGUGUCCAGAAUUGAAACAAACGGUAGUUUAUUCUCACAUCUUCUUUUCCUCUUAAGCACAGGAACAAAUAGAAUAAAGAAAAAUGGUUAAUUCCACGAACACCAGUCCACACUCCAACAGUCAAAAGACUGUUUGUCUCUCCCAAUCAGCAACACCUGCCACUGAUUACCACCCUACUCAAGUAACCUGGCCACCAUGACCCUUGAACCUGGGCGUGGCUUGAGAGUGAUGUCACAGCGUGGGGAAAAUUAAGAAAAUCAUAAUAUGGCUCUUACAUCGAUAAUUAAUUUCCCUCAAUAUCAAUAUAAAACAUGGUCAAUAUGCUUUUCAGUAGUCGUCAUUCUGACAUGUUUUGGUCGACUAUAAGAAUAGCCAAUGAAAAGGGGAGUUUCUGCGGGUCUGAACCAAUUAUGUUCUGAAUUAGAACCAAGUAUCAACCAACUGCAGCGUCGUAGCAGACAGCAGCUCCACCCAACCAUAGCACUUUAACAGGUGAAGCCGACAGCACUGUUGGUGAGAAACAAAGAAAAUGAGUGCUACCCCCGACAGAAAUGACCAUGAAGGCUCAACAGAUGACCACAUCAAUGUCAACCACAACACUGGCGUUAGGAAAACGUCGGUGGUGUGGAGGUAUUUUGGUUUUUGGAGGUCGGACAUGAAGCAGAGUAAUGUGGACUGUAAAUUAUGUCGAGUACAUGUUCUCACAAAGUCGGGGAAUACCUCAAAUCUUUUUCACCACCUGAAGCAGCGCGACGCCGCAGAGCACGCGCAACGCAAAAGGUUACAAACCCCGAGAGGAGCGAGGAGCCGAAACAGACGACCAUUCAGUCGGCUUUCUCUAAAGCGACGCCUUACGACAAAACGACAAAACGCCAAAGAGACACAAAGACCUCACAGAUGCAGGAGAUUAUUGUGUUGGAAAAGACAUGAGACCAAGAAACACUGUUAGAUUUUUAGAUCCUGAUAUUGAUCGAUAUCAGCUGAUAUGAAAAAAAUAUAUAUUGAUAAACUUUUUCCCAUAUCGCCCAACACUAAUUCAGAGUUAUUCCACCGAAUAUGCCCCUGUCUCAGCUUCUCUGUAAAAAGUAGUAAUCUGGUUUCCUGUUCAUCUGUCUGUGGAGAGUCUCAGUUUCUCUGUUAAAAGUCCUUCAGAGGUUUCACUCCGGCCUACUUCACGGUUAUGAACCUGAAAAAGAAACUGAUUCAUUUGUACUUAACGGAUCUUUAGUUUGCUGUAAUAACAAAGUUGAACUUCGGUCCGGUCAUUAUCAUGGAUUAUGUUCUGCCUGCUUUUGCUAUCCAUAUGAGCUGUUUUUGUCAGGCUGCUGACACCUGAUUGUUCAAUAUUGGACUUUAAAAGAAUUUUGAACUGAAACCAGAACAGUUCUUAAACUCCAAAUAGAGUUGCUGGUUUUCCCGGGGAAGCUCUGGUCCGGCCACAGUCUAACCGCCCACCUUGGUGGCGGUGCAGAGCAGUAAUAAAGCUCGACACUCACCAUGACUCUGCAGGACGGUUCAUACGCACUAACUGAUAUUUGCAGCGAGCCUGUCCUGUGUCACGGCGCUCCAUCAUUGUAAUUAUCGUUAUCAGAGUCAUGUGCAUGAGCGAGUUUAUCCCCUCGGCUCUGACGCAGUUCUCAGUAACAGCUCUUGUUAGUGGAGAACGAGAAGUGUUGAGAAACCUCUGACCGCAGCGUAUAUUUAGGCCAAACCGCCGUAUGCAGUCUGUCCAAACAUGACAAGGAAGAAGGGGAAUUAUGUGAGAAACAGGGCGGGUGGAGAAGGGAAAGACAAACUGUAGUUAGGAAACCAUGAGUAGAAUGAUGUGGUUUCACAGCUGGGAAACUCAGACGCAGUGCAAACACAAAACCUACUUCUUUCUCUCCCUGAUUAAAGGAAAGAAAAGCCCAGAGGCAGAAGGUCACAGGUUAGAUCCCAACAUCCAGCUAUUGUCCUGUUUCUCCAAAGCUUCUCCAGAUUUCAUCUCCAAACUGUCACCGUUUCACAAGACGUGGGAGACGUGACGUUAUCAAAGGAGACGUUGUGGAGUAAAAACAUCUUCAGCUCAAAAGCAGCUCUGCCUGAGAUUGUGGCCUGAAUCUGUAAAAAGGAGUAUCUGUGAUUGUCGCUCUGAUUUCCUUUAAACAUUCACAAACUUUACUUUUUCUGACUUCCCCUUGAAAUACCUCCUCCCCCGAGAAGAGGGCCGAGUUCAAACAGGAGAGAAAACUUUCAAAGGCGUGUAGAGCAGUGACGCACUACAGGUUUCCCUCAUCACUUCUUCUUCUUCUGUUCUUCGCACACACACACACACACACACACACACACACACACAGAGCGAUGACUCACUGCAGGUACGGUCCACCUGUCUCUGUGAUCUCGCCUGGCAUCGAUCGCCCAUCUUCACCUGUCAUCUGCUGCUCUCUCUCUUUUCUCUUCCUCUCUGUUGUCUCUGCUCAUUUGUCCACUGACCUUUCUCUCCUCUCUCCGCCUUCUCCUCCUUCGGUUUCCCACUCUUCUUCAUAUUUCUGUCCCUAACUUUUUCAUUGUCUUUUUUCAACUUCUCCUCAUGGUUUCAUCUGUUUCUAUAACCGUCUGCAGCCUAAAGCAGGUCGUUAACAGCUCACUAACUCAAAGGCUGAAAAUACCUCCGUCCUUCAUUCGUCCCGAUAGGACCCGAAAUAUUUCUGCUCCUCUUCCAGCAAAAAAUGACGUUUUCAGAUCAAUGUUAAUAUUGCAGCAGAGUAAAUGCAUGUGAAUGAACAACCAUUCAUUCAUUCACCUCUAUACCACUUAUCCCUUUCGGGGUCGUGGGUCGGCUGGAGCCUAUCCCAGCUGUCAUUGGGCGAGAGGCGGGGUACACCCUGAAUCAGUUGCCACUCAACAGCAGGGCCACACUCACACUCAUACCUAAGGACAAUUUUAGAGUCAACAACUGACCUAAUGAGCCUGUUUUUGGUCUGUGGAAGGACGCCAGAGUGCCCGGAGAAAACCCACGCAUGCACGGGAAGAACAUGCAGACUUCACACAGAAAGGCCCUGCCCAACCCAGGGAUUGCACCAGUGACCUUCUUGCUGUGAGGCAAGGGUACUACUUGCUGCGCCACCAUGCCAUCAGAGGAACAACCAAACAGGUCAGAAGUUCUUAGAGAGGAACAACCAAAGAGUGGCUCAUCACUCUGUGAGAGACUGCGAGUGCUAACUGUUCAACAGUUCCAGAAAAAAGUUCCUUGAGUGGAUUCCAUCGUCUACGGAACAUCAGAUCAUUUAGAGAUUCAGAGGAUCUUAAGAAAUCUCUGUACUGAAGGGACCAGGACCAGGACCAGGACUUGAUGGUCCUGGUCUUCAGGGCUUUAAAAAGAGACAGGACUUGGGAGUGGAAAUCAGAUAAAACCAUGAUCCAGAAACCCUUUAGGAAAACCGUCCCGUGGUGCAGUAAAUGAAGAUCUGACCUUUUUCUUGAACUGAUGUUGAUAAUCACUCUACAGAGCAGAAGGACCACAGGUUUUUCAGUUACAUCACUUUACAAUGAGAGUAUACUUGGAUAAAAUAAUUAAGUUUUCCAUCUUAACAUCUGAGUUUGGAUAUGAAGUUUAAAUCAUCUGAAAACCAGCUGUCUUCUUUGUCCUCAUCUUCUCUGGCCUUCACUUUCACACCGUCACUGAUCGUCUCCUUUCCUGUCAUUCUUUCUCUUUUCUCUCCAGAACCUUCUCGUCUACUUUAUUCUUCUCUCCUCAUUUCCUCUCCUCGCUCUCUCAUCAUUCAUCUCCUCUUUCCUCACCUCUCGUUCACACGUCUCCGCAGAUGAGACGGUGAGCAGCCCUUCAGAUCUCUUUACGUUCCUGACGCUCUUUCUGUCGUCUCAGUGCUUUCGCUUUACUCACUUUGUGAAUCAUCUCUCUCCUGUGUGUGUGUGUGUGUGUGUGUGUGUGUGUGUGUGUGUGUGUGUGUGUGUGUGUGUGUGUGUGUGUGUGUGUGUGUGUGUUAAUGUUGACUCUGUAUUUUCUGCAGAGUGUUUUAUGUAACUGGUCUCACACACACAGAGUAAGCCCAGGUGUCGGUCGUGUCUAUGAGGAGUUGGAGGUUCAGGACUUGAGGGUUCAAAGCUCGGUAGUUGAUCUCUGGCUCAGAGGGUGAUGAUGUUACGCUCACACACAUCCGGGUCUUACUGAGCCCCCGACUCUUUGAAGCAGACAGACACAGAAAGUUUAGUCAGCGCUGAUUGUCCUCCUUAAAAAAGUUUACUUGAAUCAGACUUCGGGGACUUUCUCAUGUUUGUUUUGCAGCAGAAAAAAAAGACCAUAUUUCUCACGCUGAUGGUUUUGGAGAGCGCACUUUAACGAGCGAUUUCUCAUCUGAGUAAGAGCAUCAGCAUUUCCUUUAACCCUUCAUGGCUCUGAAGGAAACGAGUCCUCUUGACCAACUCUAAAAACUUCUCCCCUGAGUUCACCUGAAUCAGUUUUUCAGCUUCUGUAUAAACCUGAUGUCUGGUUUCAGUCUGAGAUUGUUGUACUCUGUUUAUAGCACAUUUGUGGUCCAGGUCCUAUUGACCAAUCAGAUGGCAGCAGCUUAAUCAUUUUUUUACUUUAUACACAUCUGCAUCAAAAUUUUGUAAUUAUGGUGAACUUUAGACGCCCCAAUUACAAGAAAAUUCCAGAAAAGUAAAAUUCUUUUCAUUUUUAGGUUCAUAAAGCUGCCAGAGCGAAGCUGCUGUCUACUGUGAAACUGAGACUCACCACGAAUGGUCGAACAGAGAGCGAGAGAAACCCUCUGUGUAACUAAUUACAGUGAAACUGAGUCUGGACCAAAACAGAUGAUUAAAAGUUGGAGUAACCCGAGAUUUCAACUGCAUCUGGAACAGCUCUGAUCCAGAACGGCAGUGAUUUUCCCCAUACGCCAAUUCCUCCGCAAAUUUCGUGGCAGAUUAUGGACAGCAGGAAUCGCGAGAACUCACAAGAACCCACAGAUUCACGUUCAAUCGCGCGAUAACGAGUUGUCUCUCUAGAGACAGACACAUAGACAUAUCAGCAGUAGAUUGUGUCCUUCCAGAGGAGGAAAUCUACUUCUAGACUUCUAGAAUCAGCAUCUCCUCAUCCAUGGUGUCAUCGGGGUGAAAUGACGUCUAAAAACCUUUCGCUUGUUGGUCUCCGCCCGUUUGCAUGGUGUGAAAUACGAUCCUCCUGAAACACGGAGUGUUUUGUUUUGAAAAGAAGCCGGAUGUUUUAUUUUGUGUCCGUGCCCGACUUCCUUUCCAGCACGGUUUCAAUUUAUCCGCCAUGCUCCGGUGUCCGGAAUAAAUAGAACUCUUGUGAUCAGCUGAGGAGUCCGGCGAUCGGCAGAGGAACGGAAAGAAGCUGGUGGAAAUUGACACGUUAACUUGAAUAGUUACGAUCAGCUACGAUCGGAGGAUAUAACCUUUUCGUAACCGUUCUGGAUACGGUGGAAAUUGGGGGUAAGACUCAAACACCGCCCCUAAAAAAGGAAGGCUCCGCCCACCAUGACCCAGGAGACGAUGUCAGGUGGAGAACAGAGAGUCUACCAGGGUUAUUGCUGCAUUGUCUCUGUUUGUGAAGGUGUUAUUUUCACCUUGAGGCCUUGGCUGUGAUUACACUGAUGAUUUCUAAACUCUCUUAUUCUGAGAAACUGACACCAGACCUGGAGCUUCUGUCUAAUCAUCCAUUACUGAGAAAACCAAAGGUUACAACAGGUGGAGAAUAUUCUCCAACAGAGGAGAGUAAACACUCGGCAGAGAGCGGACAAGAAAUGUGUGGGUAUCUAAAACAGACCUGACCCGAGCUGACUCCAGGUGUGUGCUGUGUGUCCAAACAUCUGCUUUAAGCUCCUAAUCCCCCUAAUCAUCUGAGCUCAGCCCUCUGGGUGGACCCGCAUACUUUUUUAAAUAGUUUCAGUCUGAGAUAAAACGCAGGCGGAGCUUGUCGAGGACAGAGCCGAGGGCUGCGAGGAUUCAUUUCAAUAAACUAAAUCAGACACUUUAGAUGAAAUGUUGUCAUCUAGCUGUUUGUCUUCAGUGACCACAGACCACACCUCUACUUUUUAAUCUGAGAAACAUGUCCGACCUCAAAGCUGCUCACCAGAAACCCACAGGCUCUGCAGACGAACGCCUGACGUCAGAGGUGGUUAAAGGCAAUAUCGUUGUUUUUAAUUCGGAGCACAUUUUUAACACGUUUGGGGUCUGAAAGAGCUAAUUAAUAUGAGAAAGGUUAAAUUACUUUAGCUGACAGCUGUGAAACAGGCUGGACUGAGUGCAGACUAAUCCUGAGUAAUGAAAACGCCGCGUCAACACCAAGUCCUUUAAAAGUGCUUGUUUCUCAGACUGGUGUUUAAAGAGAAAGACACAUUUCAUCCGCAGACUACUACAAACACACACAUUUAACGCCACAGGAAGCAGGAUGACUGAUUUUGAAGAACAAAUCAAACUUCAAAGUACAGGUAUGAGGGAUGUUGGGUACUGAGCAGGUUUUCCCUGACCCUCUGUACGAACCUGCUGUCUUCUCCUAAUUCUAACCCUGCUACACUGGCGGCCAACAUGGCUACCCUGAACCCCGGGGUACAGAAUCUGAACGACACUAAAAUGAUCCGGUCAGCAGCUCACGGUCGGUGAGAGGUCGAGCAGACGGCUUAUAUAAAUGAGGAUUUAACCGUAACCUGAGUCUCCAUUGUUUCCUCUAAUUGCUGCUCUGCACAAACAAUGUUUACUGGAAAGUCCAAAAUUUGACCAACGUUUGGUUUUCCUGUUUAAUUUUGAUUCUAUUUUUACGCUGAAGACAUCCAUCAGAAAGUGGCGCAAACACAUCUGCUCCGUGUUCACGGUAAAAAAAAUCUUUUUACUGACAGUUACUUUACUUUCACUCUCCUCCGACACU
This 8713-nucleotide long non-coding RNA is filed under the name Xyrichtys novacula (pearly razorfish). The record is from RNAcentral. Lineage: Eukaryota; Metazoa; Chordata; Actinopteri; Labriformes; Labridae.